Molecule: non-coding RNA, 7678 nt
Organism: Xyrichtys novacula (pearly razorfish)
Lineage: Eukaryota; Metazoa; Chordata; Actinopteri; Labriformes; Labridae
Source: the annotation of a GenBank genome assembly
AAAAUGUAAAAUGAAGAAAAAAAUAUUUGGGGUGUUCAGGCUUCCUGAAUGUAAUACCCGGGUAUUAGAUUUCAAGGCUAGGGUAAGGUUUAACGUUUUGGCGUUAGGUUUAAAAUCACUGUCCAAAACCUUUGUAGGAACUCUUUAACAACCUUUUGGAUUUAGUUAGACCAAAAAAAAAUGAAAAAUGAAAAAAAAAAUAUUUGGGGUGUUCAGGCUUCCUAAAAGUAAUACCCGGGUAUUAGGUUAUGGGGCUAUGGUAAGGUUUAAGGUUUUUGGCGUUAGGGUUAAAAUCACUGUCCAAAACCUUUGUAGGAACUCUUUUCCAACCUUUUGGAGUUAGUUAGACCAAAAAAUAGGAAAAAAGAAAAAAAUAUUUUUGGGGGUUUUCGGGCUCCCUGAAAGAAAUACCCGGAUAUUGUGUUUUGGGGCUAUGGUAAGGUUUAAGUUUUUUGGCGUUAGGGUUAAAAUCACUGUCCAAAACCUUUGUAGGAACUCUUUUCCAACCUUUUGGAGUUAGACCAAAAAAUAUGAAAAAAGAAAAAAAUAUUAUUGGGGGUUUUCGGGCUCCCUGAAAGUAAUACCCGGGUAUUAGGUUUUGGGGCUAUGGUAAGGUUUAAGUUUUUUGGCGUUAGGGUUAAAAUCACUGUCCAAAACCUUUGUAGGAACUCUUUUCCAACCUUUUUUGAGUUAGUUAGACCAAAAAAAUUUGAAAAAUGAAAAAACAAUAUUUGGGGUUUUCGGGGUUCCUGAAUGUAAUACCCGGGUAUUAGAUUUUAAGGCUAGGGUAAGGUUUAAGUUUUUUGGCAUUAGGGUUAAAAUCACUGUCCAAAACCUUUGUAGGAACUCUUUUCCAACCUUUUGGAGUUGGUUACACCAACAAAAAUGUAAAAUGAAGAAAAAAAUAUUUGGGGUGUUCAGGCUUCCUGAAGGUAAUACCCGGGUAUUAGAUUUUAAGGCUAGGGUAAGGUUUAAGGUUUUUGGCGUUAGGGUUAAAAUCACUGUCCAAAACCUUUGUAGGAACUCUUUUCCAACCUUUUGGAGUUAGUUAGACCAAAAAAUAUGAAAAAAGAAAAAAAUAUUAUUGGGGGUUUUCGGGCUCCCUGAAGGUAAUACCCAGGUAUUAGGUUUUGGGACUGGGGAAAGGUUUAAGGUUUUUGGCGUUAGGGUUAAAAUCACUGUCCAAAACCUUUGUAGGAACUCUUUUCCAACCUUUUGGAGUUGGUUACACCAACAAAAAUGUAAAAUGAAAAAAAUAUAUAUUUUGGUUGUUCGGGCUUCCUAAAAGUAAUACCCGGGUAAUUGGUUAUGGGGCUAUGGUAAGGUUUAAGGUUUUUGGCAUUAGGGUUAAAAUCACUGUCCAAAACCUUUGUAAGAACUCUUUUCCAACCUUUUGGAGUUAGUAAGACCAGAAAAAGAAUGAAAAAUGAAAAAAAAUAUAUUUGGGUUUUCCGGGCUUCCUGAAUGCAAUACCCGGGUAUUAGAUUUUAAAGCCAGGGUAAGGUUUAAGUUUUUUGGCGUUAGGGUUAAAAUCACUGUCCAAAACCUUUGUAGGAACUCUUUUCCAACCUUUUGGAGUUAGUUAGACCACAAAAAAAAGAAAAAUGAAAAAAAAAUAUUUUGGGUGUUCAGGCUUCCUCAAAGUAAUACCCGGGUAUUAGGUUAUGGGGCUAUGGUAAGUAUUAGGGUUUUUGGCAUUAGGGUUAAAAUCACUGUCCAAAACCUUUGUAAGAACUCUUUUCCAACCUUUUGGAGUUAGUUAGACCAAAAAAAAAUGAAAACUGAAAAAAAAAAUAUUUGGGGUUUUCGGGCUUCCUGAAUGUAAUACCCGGGAAUUAGAUUUUAAGGCUAGGGUAAGGUUUAAGUUUUUUGGCGUUAGGGUUAGAAUCACUGUCCAAAACCUUUGUAGGAACUCUUUUCCAACCUUUUGGAGUUAGUUUGACCAAAAAAAAAAGAAAAAUGAAAAAAAAAUAUUUGGGGUGUUCAGGCUUCCUAAAAGUAAUACCCGGGUAUUAGGUUAUGGGGCUAUGGUAAGGUUUAAGGUUUAUGGCGUUAGGGUUAAAAUCACUGUCAAAAACCUUUGUAGGAACUCUUUUCCAACCUUUUGGAGUUGGUUACACCAACAAAAAUGUAAAAUGAAAAAAAAAUAUUUGGGGUGUUCGAGCUUCCUGAAGGUAAUACCCGGGUAUUAGGUUAUGGGGCUAUGGUAAGGUUUUAUUGUUUGGCGUUAGGUUUAAAAUAAAAAAAACAAACAAACAAACAAAAAAAAAAUCUCAAAAACAAAAGUUCAAACAAGACACAAACUCAAGAUCAAAAAACACCACAAACUCAAGUUCAACCAACACCCAAAUCUCAAGUUUAACAAUUGCCACAACCUCUAGUUCAAAAACAACACAAACUCAAGUUCAAACACGACACAAACUCAGGUGCAAAAACACCACAAACUCAAGUUCAACAAUUGCCACCAACUAAAGUUCAGAGAAAAAUACAGACUCAAGUUCAACAAUUGCCACAAACUCAAGUUCAACAAACACCACAAUCUUAAGUUCAACAAAUUCCAAAAUUUCAAGUUCAACAAAUGACCUAAACUCACAUUUAACAAUUGCCAAAAACUUAAAAGUUAAAAAAGUGCCACAAACUGAAGUUCAAAAACACCACAAACUGAAGUGUGUGAGGACAUGCAAACCACCAGACUGCACCUGUCUCAGCAAUGGGCUGAAGUGCACAAACCUGUGCAAAUUACAAACUUGUGCCAACCAGUACAGUGAGGAAGAGCCCCUUGCACACCGGCAGAUUCAGAUGUAGAAGAAGAUACAGAUACUGAUGUCGAUUACUGAUGUUGAUUAAUAAGUGAUGACCAAAGGGAGCUAUGUUAGCAGACCCACUGUGACUCAGUGACAGAAUUAUGUGCUAAGCCAAAACUUGACAGUCAUAUUUGCCGUCACUGUUCCUUAUGGAAAGAAUAGGACUUUGAAUAGGAAUUGGAGUUUUUCUCAGAUGAUUGUAUAGAGUGUAUACAUCAGUAGAUCUUAUUUUGAUGCUAAUGUCUUCUUGCCCUGCACCAGCCAGGAUGAUUGUAUAUUGAGUGCCUACAUUUAAAAUAUGUCAGUGUCAUAUUAAAGUUGUGUUAUUAUAAUGCUAUUAGUCUGCAUUUAUUUUAUUUCUACUUCUAAGUCAAAAAAUAUCCUUAAUUUAGACCUUGAUUUAGACCUGACAAUUAGCUAAUUGAAGCUUAUAUAUACACACCUGUAUUAGAUAAAUUAUUUGAAAUACUACUUAGGGGGUUAAUACAAGUCUCUAUGGCUAGCCAAUAGUUCAAACACACCUAAAUGAGAGGUUAAAAUGAAAGAAAGCUCAUUUUGAAGGAAGGCGAUUUUUCGUUUUUGAACAGCUGCACUCUAUUACUUCAAUGAGUAAUAACUACAAUAAAGCUACCAGUUACCAAGGUCUAUCAAAUAAAAACUUAUUGUAGGGAUGUAUAAAAAAAUCACAACUAGAAUUUGCCCACCGAAGUGGUACCGAUAUGUGAAAUUUUGGUUCUUGGCUCAAGGACUAAAACUCAAGUUCAACAAACACAACAAGUCAAGUUCAAGCAACACCCGAUCCUCAAGUUCAACAAUUUCCACAAACUUAAGUUAAAAAACACCAGAACCUCUAGUUCAAAAAACAUGAUAAACUCAAGUUCAAAUAUGCCACAAACUCAAGUUCAAUGAACACCACAAACUCAAGUUCAACCACCACCCGAUUCUCAAGUUUAACAAUUGCCACAACCUCAAGGUUAAAAAAAACACAAACUCAAGUUCAAACACUUCACAAACUCAAGUUCAAACACUUCACAAACUCAAGUUCAAAAACACCACACAAACUCAAGUUAAACAAACACAACAAGUCAAGUUCAAGCAACACCCGAUCCUCAAGUUCAACAAUUUCCACAAACUUAAGUUAGAAAACACCAGAACCUCAAGUUCAAAAAACAUAAUAAACUCAAGUUCAAAUAUGCCACAAACUCAAGUUCAAUGAACACCACAAACUCAAGUUCAACGAACGCCACAAACAAAAGUUCAACAAUUGCCACCAACUAAAGUUCACUAAAAACCAUAGACUCAAGUUCAACAAUUGCCAAAAAAUCAAGCCAAACAAACUCAAGUUCAUAAGUUGCCACAAACUUCAAACACGACACAAACUCAAGUUCAAAAACACCACAAACUCAAGUUCAAAAACGACACAAACUCAAGUUCAACAAACAAAACUAACUAUUUAGAGUAAUUUUGAGGUGUUUGAGAGGUUUUUUGUAGACUUACCCUAGUGGUCCUAAGUUGUUGUUGAUGUGAGGGGUUUCUUUUCCAGUAGUCUAAAAUCUGUUGGAGGGGGGAAAAGGUUCCAGCUGUCCAUCCGCGGUGGCAGCGGUGUGUCUGAAGUCCGGGGUCCUCGGCGGGGGAAAGAAGAUCAUCGCUCCGCGGGAAGGUUUGCUGGGACUCGGUGCUGUCGGCAGGUCGAAGCUCGGUGGUGGGCGGCUUGGAGUGAUGGAGGUGCGGCGUCUUCUUUCAGUUGGCGGCGCGGCGUCUUCCUCGAUGGUGGUCCGUCUUCUUGGUCCAGAGGUCAGUGCUUUGUCUCAAUAACUGGAACAGGAACUGCUCUUUAGUGCACGGCACUUAAUUGUGCUUUUCACACGAGAAGACAUCCCCAGAGUUGGGCUCGAGUCAUGGUUUGUGCUGUUCCUCUCAGACAUGGUUGUGUUCUCUUCUCGAUGUUUGUAUUCCAGAAUGGAUGUCUCUUGGUUGUAUUUUAAACCUUCAAGUUGUUUUAAGUUAAUUUUAAUGUAGUUUAUUGUUUUAAAUUGAGUUUUGCUACAUUCAAUUUGUAUGCAAUCGCAAGGGAUUGUGGGUAUUUUAGUUCUGAGGGAUGAGAGCCUAAGGAAUCAAUCUUCCUGUUACAGCAAAGGAUUGUGGGUAAAACCGUGAGGGAGUGAGGUACUUCCUUUCUGGCAUGAGAGCCUUGGGAAUCAAUCUCCCUGUUGCAGCAAAGGAUUGUGGGUAAAACCGUGAGUGAGGGAGGUACAUUUUUCCUGGCAUGAGAACCUCAGGAGUCAGUCCUUCCUAAGAAAAAAGAGGGGAGGGGGGAAGAAAAACAAAAGCACAGGAACCCUAAAAUAAAAUAAAAUAAUAUAAAACAAUGAAAAAAUAAAAGAAGAACAAAAGUGGAUUGAAAAGGGAAAGGGGAAGAAAAAAGGAAAAAAAGAAGUGUCAAGAGCAAAUAGCAAAAAUCAGAAGUGAGCUUAAAAACAGAGAACAGUUCCCUAAAAAAAAAACAGAAAUGUAAAUCUGAUCAAUGUCCUAAGGGAAAAUCUGUACGUGUGUGUGUGUUCUUUUUUGCUAACUUAGUCUGGUGUCACUGAUGGUCAGUUAUUGAUAAGUAUUUAUUAUUUAAAUUUUUGAUGAAGUUGUUUGUAGUGGGGUUAGCUGGCUAAUUUUAGAGUGUUAAAAAAGAUGUUAGAGGGGGAGGAUUUAGGGGGCACGGCGGUUCCCCUUCAGGUCUCUCUUAAUCCUCCAUAUAGGUGACCCAACAGGGGUUACCCCCCGGCCGGGGUAGGCCGAGGCUGAAGAUCACCUAUUUGUCCUCUGUGAAGGUGAAAAUAAAGGGGCAGGGGAGGGAAUAAGAAAGGGGGGGUGUUAGAGAGAGGGGGAGAGAUGAGGGGGAGAGAUGAGGGAGAGAGAGAGAGAGAGAGAGAGAGAGAGAGAGAGAGAGUGUGUGUGUGUGUGUGUGUGUGUGUGUGUGUGUGUGUGUGUGUGUGUGUGUGUGAGAGAGAGAGAGAGAGAGAGAGAGAGAGAAGGGAAGAGGGAGAGGGGGGUUUAAGGGAGAGGUGGAGAUGGUGGAAAAUAAAGAUUGGUGAGGGGGAUGUUGACAUAUCACAUGUUCCCAGUCAAGUCUCCAAGCUCAAUCUGUGUGUAAAAAUUAUGUGUUGGUAGGAAGUUUAAUGACUCCACUCAAUUGGUAUGCCAUGCUGUCUAUCUUUUAGACUAUGUGUUUGUAAAUUAUGUAUAUAUUAUAUUACAGGGCUAGGGUAAGGUUAAAGGUUUUUGGCGUUAGGGUUAAAAUCACUGUCCAAAACCUUUGUAGGAACUCUUUUCCAACCUUUUGGAGUAAGCUAGACCAAAAAAAAAAAAAAUGAAAAAUGAAAAAAAAAAUGUUUGGGGUGUGAAGGCUUCCUUAAGUUAAUACCCGGGUAUAAGGUUCGGGAAUAGGGUAAGGUUGAAGGUUUUUGGCGUUAGGGUUAAAAUCACUGUCCAAAACCUUUGUAGGAACUCUUUUCCAACCUUUUGGAGUUAGCUAGACCAAAAAAAAAAAAAAUGAAAAAUGAAAAAAAAAAAUGUUUGGGGUGUGAAGGCUUCCUUAAGUUAAUACCCUGGUGUUAGGUUCGGGAAUAGGGUAAGGUUGAAGGUUUUUGGCGUUAGGGUUAAAAUCACUGUCCAAAACCUUUUUAGGAACAUGUUUCAGACCUUUUGGAGUUGGUUACACCAAAAAAAAUGUAAAAUGAAAAAAAAAAAUUGGGGGGUUUUCGGACUUCCUGAAGGUAAUACCCAGGUAUUAGGUUAUGGGGCUAUGGUAAGGUUUAAGGUUUUUGGCGUUAGGGUUAAAAUCACUGUCCAAAACCUUUUUAGGAACAUGUUUCAGACCUUUUGGAGUUAGUUAGACCAAAAAAAAAAAAGAAAAAAAAAAAAGUAUUUUGGGUGUUCAGGACUCCUGAAGGUUAUACAGGUAUUAUAUUAGGUUAUGGGGCUUGGGUAAGGUUUAAGGUUUUUGGCGUUAGGGUUAAAAUCACUGUCCAAAACCUUUGUAGGAACUCUUUUCAAACCUUUUGGAGUUAGUUAGACCAAAAAAAAAAGAAAAAUGAAAAAUGAAAAAAAAAAUGUUUGGGGUGUGAAGGCUUCCUUAAGUUAAUACCCGGGUAUAAGGUUCGGGAAUAGGGUAAGGUUGAAGGUUUUUGGCGUUAGGGUUAAAAUCACUGUCCAAAACCUUUAUAGGAACAUGUUUCAGACCUUUUGGAGUUGGUUACACCAAAAAAAAUGUAAAAAGAAAAAAAAAUAAUUGGGGUGUUCGGGCUUCCUGAAGGUAAUACCCAGGUAUUAGGUUAUGGGGCUAUGGUAAGGUUUAAGGUUUUUGGCGUUAGGGUUAAAAUCACUGUCCAAAACCUUUUUAGGAACAUGUUUCAGAACUUUUGGAGUUAGACCAAAAAAAAAAAGAAAAAAAAAGAAAAGUAUUUUGGGUGUUAAGGCCUCCUGAAGGUUAUACAGGUAUAAUAUUAGGUUAUGGGGCUUGGGUAAGGUUUAAGGUUUUUGGCGUUAGGGUUAAAAUCACUGUCCAAAACCUUUGUAGGAACUCUUUUCCAACCUUUUGGAGUUAGCUAGACCAAAAAAAAAAAAAAAGAAAAAUGAAAAAAAAAAAUGUUUGGGGUGUGAAGGCUUCCUUAAGUUAAUACCCGGGUGUUAGGUUCGGGAAUAGGGUAACGUUGAAGGUUUUUGGCGUUAGGGUUAAAAUCACUGUCCAAAACCUUUUUAGGAACAUGUUUCAGACCUUUUGGAGUUGGUUACAACAAAAAAAAUGUAAAAUGAAAAAAAAAAUUUGGGGGGUUUUCGGGCUUCCUGAAGGUAAUACCCAGGUAUUAGGUUAUGGGGCUAUG